CUCUUACGAAGAAACCGUUCUACGGAAGCCCAGUUGAGACAACUUGAGACAGGAUUCAGAAACGCUGAUUUUAGUAACCUUAACCCUCGGCCUUUGGUGGGAACUUCGGCUCUGUGGGAAUUAGUCUUUGGGGGACUGAUGGUGAUGCUGAAAUCUUAUUGCGUAGGAAAUUAAGUACAACAAAGAAGACCCGUCGUGAGAGGAGAGUGCGGAAGAAAUGCGAAGUCUACGGGAGGUGGCAGCUGCAGAAGCUUGGUGUUGGAUUUGGAGUUAGGAGACCGGGAGGAGCCCAGCUUCCGGUCCAGACGGUUAUCUUGUUGACUUGCACGACUGCAAACGCCCUGAGCUGCUUUUGCAGUCUGAAACAUCAGCGAUCCCAUCAAAAUAUUCUGUUUCUUGGGAUAUAAGAAACAUCCCAAGGCGGGCUGUAGAGCGAGAGAUUUGGACUCGAUUUAAAUACAGACAAAAUAGUAUGCAUUUACUAACACCACAUCUCACCCCCACGAAACUUGGUAAGGGCAGCAACAGAACUUUAUCUGCCAUAUGCACUCCUGUAUUCCUAUUACCAAAUAGUGCCAGGGACUAAGUGAAUAUUUGCCCAAUGAAUGAGUUUUAAGUAGGAAACGUUUGCAUAGAAUCAUUUUGUUUCUUUUGGAGUUCAAAUCUUCGGAUAUUUUACCCUUCCCAAUCCAAAGAAAAGUCUCUGAGUGAAGAGAUGGGAACAAAAUCCAAGCCCAGCACAACAAUGGCACACAGCAGUUGCUGCCCAAGCCUGGGUGCUCCUGGUGGUCCUGCACGAUCGGCUGUGCAGUAGGCUUGUCAAGGAGAGGAUCCUCCCUGGCCUCUCCUUGGGCAGAGGAGGUGGUCCAUAAAGCUGCUCUGGAGCCAAAAUAUUGCAGUCACAUCUCGGCAGCGACCUGCCCUCAGGUGGCAUUUUCAAGUCAUGGAGAAGGUGGAGGAAGAAGAAGACAGAGCUCUUACCAGGGGGAGGCAGAGAUGGCACAGCAAGAGACAUGCCCCCAGAAUGCCACCAAUGCCCCAGGACAGGCCCACCCAUGGGACCAGGUUAUCAGGGGCCCUGUGGGGAUGGGGUGGAAUCUGAAGGGUGAGCCUUCAUCCCCAGGCUGGGAGUGGGUGAGACGAGACUGGGGCCUGUAUGUCUGAGUGCCCCCCAAACCCAGCAGUCAUGUUGCGAGGAAACGAAAUCACGUUACUUCUUCCAGCUGAUGUUCCACUUGUUUCUUCUGUUGUUUCUGUGGGGAGAGUCAAAUAAGGUGAUGGAGGGUGGCCCCCUCAACUCUAUUCCCCAGACCAGGAAGUGGUAGGCAGGGGCCAGGAAUGGAUUUUAAAGGCAAAGUUCUCAGACAUAAUGGGAACACGAACCGGUAAACUCUCCUCAAGCUCCCAAGGACAGAGGAUUUGGGUCUUUGUUGGCUUUUGCCCACAGCCACAGAACUCAAAGUCUGAAUCUGGAAUCUCUUGAGAGGACAGCAAUAUAAACCUCUAGAGAUGGAGUUUCAGAAAGGCCCCUCCUUCUGGCAACUUGUGAUUUAGAGAAGUGGGUUCAUUCAAUAAACAUUUACUGAGC
RNAcentral lists this long non-coding RNA (1588 nucleotides) under Homo sapiens (human). Its description in RNAcentral is "ARHGAP11B divergent transcript, transcript variant 4 (ARHGAP11B-DT)". Lineage: Eukaryota; Metazoa; Chordata; Mammalia; Primates; Hominidae. The record is from RNAcentral.